GUCCGUUGAGCUCAAACCCGCACACGUAUCGACACGAUAUCCUGGGUGCCCGCAAGGGUUGGAUAUUGGGAUGCGUGGAGGCCUAAC
Molecule: small RNA, 87 nt
Filed under: Metapseudomonas resinovorans NBRC 106553
Lineage: Bacteria; Pseudomonadati; Pseudomonadota; Gammaproteobacteria; Pseudomonadales; Pseudomonadaceae
Description: Pseudomonas resinovorans NBRC 106553 t44 RNA
Rfam family: t44 RNA
About the family: This family consists of a number of bacterial RNA genes of between 135 and 170 bases in length.
Source: Rfam by way of RNAcentral